GUUUUUUGUGGCAUUUCUUUCCUUCUGGCCACCCUUAUUUCACCCUUCGUAUAAUUAUUUUAUCCUUAUUGUGGUUGUAUUUCUUGGAGACCAUGGACGUAGAUUUAGAUCGAGUUUUAAAGGGAUGCUACUGAUUUAACUGGAAUUAAUGCAAGCACUUGCUUAAGACUGCCGUUACGGAGAAAUCCAUCAUUAUAGAUGUAUUAAGGCACUUGGGCACUUGAUGUAAAGAAGGAUGCUCUUAGUUGUAGGAAAGCUAAUUAUAUCAGUCGCUUGAGAGACUAUCAAACAGCAAGUGGCAGCAAAA
This is a long non-coding RNA of Stegodyphus dumicola, 307 nucleotides long. Lineage: Eukaryota; Metazoa; Arthropoda; Arachnida; Araneae; Eresidae. The record is from RefSeq and is a predicted model, not a curated record.